CUGAAAGCCGCUAGGGUUCCGGUCCAGUUUUCUGGAUGGCUGGUCCGAGAGCGCGCGGCCUCGGCUUCGAGGUUACACGGCGGGACAAAAGCCCGGGAGAU
RNAcentral lists this small RNA (101 nucleotides) under Gluconobacter oxydans. Its description in RNAcentral is "Guanidine-I sequence". It matches the Rfam family "Guanidine-I riboswitch aptamer". Rfam says of the family: This family represents a conserved RNA structure found upstream of the ykkC and yxkD genes in Bacillus subtilis and related genes in other bacteria. The function of this family is unclear although it has been suggested that it may function to switch on efflux pumps and detoxification systems in response to harmful environmental molecules. The record is from RNAcentral. Lineage: Bacteria; Pseudomonadati; Pseudomonadota; Alphaproteobacteria; Acetobacterales; Acetobacteraceae.